This is a long non-coding RNA of Leopardus geoffroyi (Geoffroy's cat), 1460 nucleotides long. RefSeq lists it as uncharacterized. NCBI's taxonomy places the organism in Eukaryota, Metazoa, Chordata, Mammalia, Carnivora, Felidae. The transcript has 2 exons. The record is from RefSeq and is a predicted model, not a curated record.
CGAGGCCAGGAAGGGAGCCAGGCCGAGCCAGGCGGUGGGAGGGGAGCAGUGCAGUCUGGCGUGAAUGGGGCAGCGAUGGCCUUCAAGCAAGGGAGUUACUGACUCAGGAUCCAAACGGGACCAGGGACCCCAAGCGAGCCAUCGUCUCUCUCCCUGACUCAGCUCACUCCCUGCCUUCUGGGUUCGAUGCCACCUGGAGACUAUGGUCCCACCCAGUCAGUAGAUGGAGGGAGUUAGAAGGAAUAAAAGGACGAGAGAGGAGGGAAAAGCAAGGCCAAGGGCGGAUCUGUGAAUCUGCACCUGCCCCCAACACGUCCUCUCAAAGCUGACAAAUCACCAAGGACUACAGACAGAGCCAAGCGAUCCCCACGCUGCCACAGAAUAGGACGGCAGGGAGCACCGCUGACCCCUUUUCCUUGCUCGGGCCCAGAGGAGACACACCCACUUCUCUUCCCGCAGAGACUUCCUGCUCAUGCAGACCUGGUCUCCGCAGGGAGCAAGUAGAUCUAGAAGAAUAGCACAGACAAGAGAGAGAAGUGCCAACGCUGCCCCCAGAAAAAGUCCAUUCUGUGGCAGGAAUACUGAAGAGUCCCGGCGGAGGGGAAGCACAGCCCUGGAGAACCAACUUGAAAAUGCACGUGGGACAUGAGGGGGCAGAACGGCCCCACUCCCGGAAGGCACCUUUUGGAAACUGAACAGUGAACAGAAAAAGCGAGCAGGUGAAGUUCAGGAUCUGACAAGACAAAAACGUAUCAAGGACACACAGGCUUGGCCUAACUACAUCCCUGUCCAAAGAAAACCCACAAGAAACAAACCAAACCCAUCCAGUAAGGACUCCUCUCGAGACACUGGGGAGGAGGGAGUCCCGAAGCAGGGCCCUCACUGCAGCCGGGCCGCCAAGCCCUGUAGGUGAAGUGCUCCAGCGAUCCAUGAACACAACUACUCCAGGGAGGAGGCAGAGACAGGCUGGACACCAGCGAUUGAAGACGCUAGUUCCCCAAACCACCGACAUAAAGGAGGAGGACCGGGGACUGGCUCUGGAGGGCCCGCCCCUCUGGCUCCCUGAGAUCUAACCAUGACUGAGCAGGAGGAAAUCUACAGGGAAUGAGGAGCAAAGGAGCAUCUAUGCAGGCCUAGCCACACGGCCUCGCCAGCAGAGGAACAACCUGGCCAUCAGCCACAGGCUCCCAGCGGUGCCCACCACCAUCAGCCAGAAAGGAAUCAUGCUGAAUCGACCAACACCUUCUACUCCCGAUUAGUGCUCUAGAGGGAGAACUCAGAGUUGAUUUCCAGAGUUUGAUUGCUGUAUGUGAUUAUGAAAGACAAAACUGUUUUUAGGAAAUACAUACUAAAGUACUGAGGGGGAAAAAGGGCAUUAUGUCAGCAACUUACUUUCAAAUGGUUCUAGAAAGAUAAUACAUAUAUAAAGAGAGACUAAAUAAAACAAGAUAAAAUGUUAA